Molecule: ribosomal RNA, 882 nt
Filed under: Weissella confusa
Lineage: Bacteria; Bacillati; Bacillota; Bacilli; Lactobacillales; Lactobacillaceae
Description: bacterial SSU rRNA
Rfam family: Bacterial small subunit ribosomal RNA
Source: RNAcentral
UUCAACUGAUUUGAAGAGCUUGCUCAGAUAUGACGAUGGACAUUGCAAAGAGUGGCGAACGGGUGAGUAACACGUGGGAAACCUACCUCUUAGCAGGGGAUAACAUUUGGAAACAGAUGCUAAUACCGUAUAACAAUGACAACCGCAUGGUUGUUAUUUAAAAGAUGGUUCUGCUAUCACUAAGAGAUGGUCCCGCGGUGCAUUAGCUAGUUGGUAAGGUAAUGGCUUACCAAGGCGAUGAUGCAUAGCCGAGUUGAGAGACUGAUCGGCCACAAUGGGACUGAGACACGGCCCAUACUCCUACGGGAGGCAGCAGUAGGGAAUCUUCCACAAUGGGCGAAAGCCUGAUGGAGCAACGCCGCGUGUGUGAUGAAGGGUUUCGGCUCGUAAAACACUGUUGUAAGAGAAGAAUGACAUUGAGAGUAACUGUUCAAUGUGUGACGGUAUCUUACCAGAAAGGAACGGCUAAAUACGUGCCAGCAGCCGCGGUAAUACGUAUGUUCCAAGCGUUAUCCGGAUUUAUUGGGCGUAAAGCGAGCGCAGACGGUUAUUUAAGUCUGAAGUGAAAGCCCUCAGCUCAACUGAGGAAUUGCUUUGGAAACUGGAUGACUUGAGUGCAGUAGAGGAAAGUGGAACUCCAUGUGUAGCGGUGAAAUGCGUAGAUAUAUGGAAGAACACCAGUGGCGAAGGCGGCUUUCUGGACUGUAACUGACGUUGAGGCUCGAAAGUGUGGGUAGCAAACAGGAUUAGAUACCCUGGUAGUCCACACCGUAAACGAUGAGUGCUAGGUGUUUGAGGGUUUCCGCCCUUAAGUGCCGCAGCUAACGCAUUAAGCACUCCGCCUGGGGAGUACGACCGCAAGGUUGAAACUCAAAGGAAUUG